UAAUGGAAGCAAUUUGUAACUUUCAGUAGCUCUCUAGGCCUGGGUACCGGAGGGAGGGAGGCGGGCAGAGGAGGGGAGAUGGGCACCCCCAGUCUUUCCAUCCUCCUCAUUCGUCUAGGGGCACCCGAAUCCCCUAUUCCUUAUUUCCCCUAUCACUCAGGCACUGGCAGGGUCCUUUGCCCACUCCUGUUGGCCGCUGCGGCUCCAAAGCGAGCUGGGCAGAUGUGCCUGAGACAGGUUUGACCAGGCAACUGAAAAGACAUCCCUAAGAGAAGACAAAGCAAAGGUAUGAAAGGAACACACGUCCCUGACUGACUAGGAGGAACAGAGCUGCCUGCUAUCCGGAACAACUUCCUCCCAGACUAAGUGAGAAAUAAACUUCUGUUUUCUAUA
RNAcentral lists this long non-coding RNA (393 nucleotides) under Homo sapiens (human). RNAcentral describes it as "HSALNT0352464". The record is from RNAcentral. Lineage: Eukaryota; Metazoa; Chordata; Mammalia; Primates; Hominidae.